GAGAAGGAGCAGGCCAGGUCUGGGACAGCCAGGCCGGCCGGCGGCAGCAACCCGCCUGUAUGUAAUGGAGAGCGCCUCUAGCCACGGGGCUGCCCAUUUGGCCUUGUUAAAUCACCCCCAGCAUAUGGUGAGAGACAUCUGCCCAGGAUUUGGACCUCACAGACUGGAAGAGGAGGGCUCUGCACAGACACUUUGAGGCUGGAGAGGGUGGAGGCAGCUGGGAAGGCGAUUCUAGGGCAAGGGCCUCACUUCUCCGAGGAGCCGGGAUUCUGAGAAAGAAGGGACUGGCUCAAGGUCAUGCAGUAGCCUACGGUUAGAUCUGUAGGGGACAAUUCAUUUCGGUUCUUUGAGCCUCUGUUUAUUUAUCUGUGAAGUGGGGUGGACAAAUAACUUACAGCCUGGAUCUGAGGGUUCGAUGAGAUCAUUUAAGGGAAUGGACCCUGCUCAGUGCAUUUUAGUUGAACGUAUUUCUCGGUGUUCAGGGUAUAAGAGUCAAAGGCAGCCACUGACAGUGUUACAUUUUCAAGAGGCUUCAGAAAAGAUCCAAUACCUUCCUAAAUCCUGCUCCUGCUGCUUAGGGUUGGAGGGAACUGGAACUGCAUUCUUCUGGCUGCUGUUUGAGUCCAAUUACAAUGCAGCCUCACUUGCAAUGGAUAAAAAUGUGAACCGUGGAAGGCUGACUUCUAGGAUUCCGAAAAAGGCAAAAUGGAGAAACUGGCCCACUCCGUGUUGCUGGAUCAAGCCAUAACUGAAGACAGUGCUACCUUUGGACUUUUUACUUGGAAAUUACAUCAAAUUGGGAUCCUCUCGCUGCUAGAGUUUGGUACACAUCAUGAAAAACUUGCCAGACGUUUCGAGAGCAGCGUCAUCUCAUUUCAAUGGCCAAAAACCUCAAAAUAAGCCAAAGAAGACUGAUAAGGCCUCAUGCUCAACCCCUUUGGAAGCUGUGUGGUGUUUUUAUUCUGCUGGGAGGGACAAGCAAAUGAAUUACCAGAUCUUAAAACCUCAGUCACUGCCUUAGGAGCCAUUAGAAGGACAGCGAGAGAGAAAACAAACACGGACUCAAGACGGUACAAAGGAAUUCGUCACAAACAGUUGAGAGGCUUUUCUGAAUUUGGGGGCACACGGGUAGAUGGUUGUGAUUUCUAAAGCAGCAGCUAGAACUGGACCCUAGUAAUUAAAAAAAAAAAAAUCUCAAAGAAUCCACCCUUGAAAAACCUGGGUAACACUAAUGGAGCCGUAUUGCCACCCCAGAUGGCCAAAUGGGGUAAACAUAUCACUUUAAUUUAAAUUUUCUGGCUAUUUGACAAUAGGCAACCUCUGGUCCUUUCCCAACCUUCAGACACUGCUGAUCUCCCCAUUGAGGACCUAUUGACUUCAGCCCAGAGCGAAUGCAUUACAACCAAGUGAUAAAUUGCUUAAAAUUAUUCUUCAAUGAAAAUGCUGGAAACCUCCGAUGUGGCUUUUUGAAUGGAGGGUGGGCAGGACAAUUUCCAAACUGUCUGGAUCAGAGAUGCUUUCUUCCAAUUGAUUCUUUCUUCAGCAGCUACGUUGCUAACCUACAGAGCCCAUGGUCCACACGGCACUGAGGGCUUACCCAAUGCAUGCUGCUAGAGAAGGGUUUUUCCCUACCACCAGUCCUUGCUCCCGGCUACCCUUCUCUCAACGACCACCCCCUCCCCCACUUCCUCCCCCUCCACGCCCCCCCCCACCAUAUAGCCAAAUCGUGCUCCCUCCCCGGAAAGCUCCUACAGCUCCAGUGACUACUACAUAAUUAACAAUAACUUGUAGUAAUGCAAUUUAAGAGUCCUUUUAAUGGGCAGCGAUGGUAGAAUGUAUAGCCCAUCUUUCUUUGUCAUCUGAGAAAAGCGGCCCCAUGCAGAGCUGCUGGUUGCUGAGUGAGGCUUUGUUGUCUGCACCAGACACAGUACCAGCUGCACUGGCAGGUAGCCGAAGUGCAAGCAGAUAGCUGCCAAACUAUGCUAUACAAAGGGAGCCGUGCCAGAGAGAAAGGGACCUUAGCAGGCGAUGACCUUUGACCCCCAAGCCAGCAUGGAUCCCAUAUUCAUCCCUUCCAGACAAUUGCAUCUUUCAUUCCACCACAAACUAUGAUUAGAAAGGGGCCAUUUGUGAUGGGGAGGGGGUCGGUUAGCUUAUAAGUUCCCAGCAAUGGGGCUAUUGCUUUUUUCUUCUAUUUUAAUGGUGACAAUAUUUUCCUUAAAACGGGGUAGGAGGAGAUGAGCAAUUAAACUAGGGAAAAUUAUAAAAGCAAAACAGUCACCCAGCCAAUGGCGUGGGGCAAGGACUCAAAGAAAGUGAAAAGCGUGGAGACAAUGACCAUAUGGCAUUUAAAAAGUCAAACGGAAAUUGAACUCUCACCUGAUCACGGGGAAGCUUCCCACAAGCGGACUGCUGGAAGGGCGCGUUUUUAGGGAAAUUGCUAACUUACUCAACACUGCUAUAUAAUACUUCUUUCAUCCCACCAGGAACGCUUUUGUUUGGUCAACUUAGAUUAAUGAGAAACGAACAGCUUGUAUUUGAAUAUGUCCUAGCAAGUCCAUUUUGUUCUUCUUUGAAAAACACCAGUGAUCUCUGGAAAAUGUCUUUUAUUUUGUGUUUUAAAGCCAUUCUACAUCAGGACUUAUGAAAAGAAGCCCAAAGCCUCAAGUGAGGACCCACCUCAAAGUCAAGGCAGCCUUUCGGUCCCUACCUCAGAGCCAUUCUGUCUGGUGGGCAGAGAAAUCAGUUGUCAGCCUUACACAGCCUGAGUGUGCCUAGGAAACGUUCUCAAAGCUGCUGGAACGUAAUGAACCGGAGUUUCAAAUUCUACGUCUUUCCAUAAAAGGAAAAAAAAGAAAAAAAAAAAGAAGCCUGUGAUGUGCAUUGGGGGGUCCACUCUGAGAGCUUUCUCAGUGGCAGAGAAGUUUCUGGAACAGGCCCCAUUUGCUCUGUCUUCCCACUGAAGGCAUGGAUCCUUGGAGGCAGGGGAAACCACUGAUACCUGUGGGCCAGCCUGAGGAGCCACACCUGACUUCAGGCUUCCACGUGAAGCCAUCUGUUCUUUAUUUUCCCUCUGUAUGAAGCUAAGGGAAUUUGCAGUUGAUUAACCUCAAACCUGGAGAAGGGAUCCAGUCUGGGAUUGCAGCCGGCAGGGCUAAGGGGACGGUGACUUGUACUUCUUAAGUGACUCAGACAGCAACAAGUUUUCUCCCACCAAAGCAGACCCCAGAGGAAUGGGUAUGCAAGGGAGAGUCCCGUGGGUCCAAACAGCCUGCAGGCAUGGAGGCAGAUUGUGGUUGGGAUCUGGGCUCCCAAAAUAAAGCGCUGGCGUCUACAUGACAAAUUAACCCGGGAACCUGAAUCUUUUUCCUUUUUUUUUUUUUUUUUAAGGUUUCAUUUAUUUACUUGUGAGAGAGAGAGACGGGGAGAGAGAGAG
This is a long non-coding RNA of Mustela erminea (ermine), 3436 nucleotides long. RefSeq lists it as uncharacterized. NCBI's taxonomy places the organism in Eukaryota, Metazoa, Chordata, Mammalia, Carnivora, Mustelidae. The record is from RefSeq and is a predicted model, not a curated record. The transcript has 3 exons.